AUAUCUAACUCAUUUUUCAUUUCCUACAGGCAUAAUGAGUAUCUUGUACAAUCUCACGAACUUGCAGUAGAGAUAAAUUUAGUCUGGUGGUUCAGAGCUUGGAUUUGCUUCAUGCAAUAUUUCCAGUGUUUUUUGGAACAUGAUAAAGGAGACUACUGACUACUGGAUCUGAAGCAGAUGGGAAGAAAACCAAGAAAGAAACAGAUGCAAUGAACAAAUCCAGAAGA
Molecule: long non-coding RNA, 227 nt
Filed under: Coturnix japonica (Japanese quail)
Lineage: Eukaryota; Metazoa; Chordata; Aves; Galliformes; Phasianidae
Description: lncRNA (ENSCJPG00005011065.1)
Source: RNAcentral